UUUCCUGUGGCCCACUUGGAAGAGUAUUGGGCAAACAACGCAAAGGUCGUGGGAUCAAAUCCCAGGGAAC
Danionella cerebrum is the source of this 70-nucleotide non-coding RNA. The record is from the annotation of a GenBank genome assembly. Lineage: Eukaryota; Metazoa; Chordata; Actinopteri; Cypriniformes; Danionidae.